CUUGCAGUUAAAACCGUAUAUUUAUUACAAUAUACACAUCAUCCGGUAACAACAAAAGUCUGGUUUAAAAUCAUAUGGACCAAUAGACAAUGUAUAUUCACUUCUAGAUCUUAUCCAAGCUUGAUGUUAAAAGGUAUUGGUCGUUGGUGUUACUAUGGGUAUUGGUGGAAUAUUCUAGCUGCAAAAGGUAUUUUAUACAUUUAAAAUUCAAUUACAUAGGGCGUAUACAUAAUGACAUAAGGUUUGCCUGCUUUACAAUAAUUGGUUAUCUAAGAAAAAAUAGGUGGUAACUUAGUAUUAUUCGAUAUCUAUGAUUAAAGCCAUACGUUAUGAUGUUUUGGUAAGUUACACACAAAGACCUUCUUGAGACUUCUAAUUACAU
This is a non-coding RNA of Pelobates cultripes (western spadefoot toad), 382 nucleotides long. The record is from the annotation of a GenBank genome assembly. NCBI's taxonomy places the organism in Eukaryota, Metazoa, Chordata, Amphibia, Anura, Pelobatidae.